GACGAACGCUGGCGGCGUGCUUAACACAUGCAAGUCGAACGGAAAGGCCCUGCUUUUGUGGGGUGCUCGAGUGGCGAACGGGUGAGUAACACGUGAGUAACCUGCCCUUGACUUUGGGAUAACUUCAGGAAACUGGGGCUAAUACCGGAUAUGAGCUCCUGCUGCAUGGUGGGGGUUGGAAAGUUUCGGCGGGUGGGGAUGGACUCGCGGCUUAUCAGCUUGUUGGUGGGGUAGUGGUUUACCAAGGCUUUGACGGGUAGCCGGCCUGAGAGGGUGACCGGCCACAAGGGGACUGAGAGAGGGACCAGACUCCUACGGGAGGCAAAAGUGGGGAAUAUUGCACAAUGGGGGGAAGCCUGAUGAAGCAACGCCGCGGGCGGGAUGACGGCCUUCGGGUUGUAAACCGCUUUCGCCUGUGACGAAGCGUGAGUGACGGUAAUGGGUAAAGAAGCACCGGCUAACUACGUG
RNAcentral lists this ribosomal RNA (468 nucleotides) under uncultured bacterium. Its description in RNAcentral is "partial 16S ribosomal RNA". It matches the Rfam family "Bacterial small subunit ribosomal RNA", at positions 28 to 507 of the family's 1533-position model. The record is from RNAcentral.